RNAcentral lists this ribosomal RNA (510 nucleotides) under uncultured bacterium. Its description in RNAcentral is "partial 16S ribosomal RNA". It matches the Rfam family "Bacterial small subunit ribosomal RNA", at positions 28 to 507 of the family's 1533-position model. The record is from RNAcentral.
GACGAACGCUGGCGGCGUGCUUAACACAUGCAAGUCGAACGAAGAGCGAUGGAAGCUUGCUUCUAUCAAUCUUAGUGGCGAACGGGUGAGUAACGCGUAAUCAACCUGCCCUUCAGAGGGGGACAACAGUUGGAAACGACUGCUAAUACCGCAUACGAUCUAAUCUCGGCAUCGAGGAUAGAUGAAAGGUGGCCUCUACAUGUAAGCUAUCACUGAAGGAGGGGAUUGCGUCUGAUUAGCUCGUUGGAGGGGUAACGGCCCACCAAGGCGAGGAUCAGUAGCCGGUCGGAGUGGAUGAGCGGCCACAUUGGGACUGAGACACGGCCCAGACUGCUACGGGGGGCAGCAGUGGGGAAGCUUCCGCAAUGGACGAAAGUCUGACGGAGCAACGCCGCGUGAGUGAGGACGGCCUUCGGGUUGUAAAGCUCUGUUAAUCGGGACGAAAGGCCUUCUUGCGAAUAGUGAGAAGGAUUGACGGUACCGGAAUAGAAAGCCACGGCUAACUACGUG